AUACGUAGGUGGCAAGCGUUGUCCGGAAUUAUUGGGCGUAAAGCGCAUGUAGGCGGUAAUUUAAGUCUGUCGUGAAACUGCGGGGCUCAGCCCCGUAUGGCGAUGGAAACUGGGUUACUUGAGUGCAGGAGAGGAAAGGGGAACUCCCAGUGUAGCGGGUAAAUGCGUAGAUAUUGGGAAGAACACCGGUGGCGAAGGCGCCUUUCUGGACUGUGUCUGACGCUGAGAUGCGAAAGCCAGGGUAGCGAACGGGAUUAGAUACCCCGGUAGUCCUGGCCGUAAACGAUGGGUACUAGGUGUGGGAGGUAUCGACCCCUUCCGUGCCGGAGUUAACGCAGUAAGUACCCCGCCUGGGGAGUACGGCCGCAAGGCUUAAACUCAAAUGAAUCGACGGGG
RNAcentral lists this ribosomal RNA (396 nucleotides) under uncultured bacterium. RNAcentral's name for it is "partial 16S ribosomal RNA". It matches the Rfam family "Bacterial small subunit ribosomal RNA", at positions 523 to 918 of the family's 1533-position model. The record is from RNAcentral.